UACGAAGGGUGCAAGCGUUGCUCGGAAUUAUUGGGCGUAAAGGGUAGGUAGGUGGUCUCAUUUGUCUGGGGUGAAAGCCUUGAGCUUAACUCAAGAAGUGCCCCAGAAACGGUGAGACUAGAAUCUGUGAGAGGGUCGUGGAAUUCCCGGUGUAGCGGUGAAAUGCGCAGAUAUCAGGAGGAACACCAAUAGCGAAGGCAGCUCGCUGGGACGGUACUGACGCUAAGGCGCGAAAGCGUGGGGAGCGAACAGG
RNAcentral lists this ribosomal RNA (253 nucleotides) under uncultured bacterium. RNAcentral's name for it is "partial 16S ribosomal RNA". It matches the Rfam family "Bacterial small subunit ribosomal RNA", at positions 524 to 776 of the family's 1533-position model. The record is from RNAcentral.